UUCUGUUUCUGCUAUAUUUUCUUUUGCAUUUUAGCUAAACUAAGACUUGCCCUGCAUGGUGCCAGCUGUAGCACGCACAGCAGAGCCCUAGUCGAUAAGAAGUUGCAAAUCAGUAUUCGAAAAGCACGGAGCCUGCAGGAUCGCAUGCAGCAGCAGCAAUCACCACAGCAGCCGUCGCAGCCCUCAGCCUGCCUCCCAACACAGGCGGGGACUCUCUCUCAGCCAACAAGUGAACAGCCUAUCCCGCUCCAAGUAUUGUUAAGCCAAGAGGCCCAACUGGAAUCCGGCAUGGAUACAGAGUUUGGGGCCAGUUCUUUCUUCCAUUCACCUGCUUCCUGCCAUGAGUCACACUCAUCACUAUCUCCAGAGUCAUCUGCCCCACAGCACAGCUCCCCCAGUAGAUCUGCCUUGAAGCUUCUGACUUCGGUUGAAGUAGACAACAUUGAACCCUCUGCAUUCCACAGGCAAGGUUUACCUAAAGCACCAGGGUGGACUGAGAAGAAUUCUCAUCAUAGUUGGGAGCCAUCGGAUGCCCCAGAGGGUAAGCCGCAAGGCUCUAGGUGUGACAACAGCAGUUGCAGCAAGCUCCCUCCACAAGAAGGAAGAGGCAUUGCUCAAGAACAGCUGUUCCAAGAAAAGAAGGAUCCUGCUAACCCCUCCCCGGUGAUGCCUGGAAUAGCCACCUCUGAGAGGGGUGAUGAACACAGCCUAGGCUGUCGUCCUUCAAAUUCAUCAGCUCAGCCCAGCCUUCCCCUGUAUAGAACCUGCCACCCCAUAAUGCCUGUUGCUUCUUCAUUUGUGCUUCACUGUCCUGAUCCUGUGCAGAAAACUAACCAAUGCCUCCAAGGCCAAAGCCUCAAAACUUCAUUGACUUUAAAAGUGGACAGAGGCAGUGAGGAGACCUAUAGGCCAGAGUUUCCCAGCACAAAGGGGAUUGUCCGUUCUCUGGCUGAGCAGUUCCAGAGGAUGCAGGGUGUCUCCAUGAGGGAUAGUACAGGUUUCAAGGAUAGAAGUUUGUCAGGUAGUCUAAGGAAGAACUCUUCCCCUUCUGAUUCUAAGCCUCCUUUCUCACAGGGUCAAGAGAAAGGCCACUGGCCAUGGGCAAAGCAACAAUCCUCUCUGGAGGGUGGGGAUAGACCACUUUCCUGGGAAGAGUCCACUGAACAUUCUUCUUUUGCCUUAAACUCUGGGCUGCCUAAUGGUGAAAUUUCUAGCGGAGGACAGCCCAGGUUGGCAGAGCCAGACAUAUACCAAGAGAAGCUGUCCCAAGUGAGAGAUGUUAGGUCUAAGGAUCUGGGCAGCAGUACUGACUUGGGGACUUCCUUGCCUUUGGAUUCCUGGGUGAAUAUUACAAGGUUCUGUGAUUCUCAGCUUAAACAUGGGGCACCUAGGCCAGGAAUGAAGUCCUCCCCUCAUGAUUCCCAUACGUGUGUAACCUAUCCAGAGAGAAAUCACAUCCUUUUGCAUCCACAUUGGAACCAAGACACAGAGCAGGAGACCUCAGAAUUGGAGUCUCUGUAUCAGGCCAGUCUUCAGGCUUCUCAAGCUGGCUGUUCUGGAUGGGGGCAGCAGGAUACCGCCUGGCACCCACUUAGCCAAACAGGUAAGAAUGCAACCAGGGGUUGGGGGGAGGGGGGAGGAUCAUAUAAAAGCUGAAAGCAGGGAAAGAUCAGAAGGGAGUGUUCUAUACAGAUAGUAUCCCCAGCUUAGUAGGAGGUAGU
Molecule: long non-coding RNA, 1721 nt
Filed under: Pan troglodytes (chimpanzee)
Lineage: Eukaryota; Metazoa; Chordata; Mammalia; Primates; Hominidae
Description: long non-coding RNA NONPTRT002226
Source: RNAcentral